GACGGAGGAUGCAAGUGUUAUCCGAAAUCAUUGGGCGUAAAGAGUCUGUAGGUGGCCUAUAAAGUCUGACGUUAAAUGUCAUUGCUUAACUUUGAAACUGCGUCAGAAACUUAUAGGCUGGAGUAAAGUCGAAGUAGAAGGAAUUUCCAGUGAAGCGGUGAAAUGCGUAGAUAUUGGAAGGAACACCGAUGGCGAAAGCAUUCUACUAGGCUUUUACUGACACUGAGAGACGAAAGCUAGGGUAGCAAAUGGG
This 253-nucleotide ribosomal RNA is filed under the name uncultured bacterium. RNAcentral's name for it is "partial 16S ribosomal RNA". It matches the Rfam family "Bacterial small subunit ribosomal RNA", at positions 524 to 776 of the family's 1533-position model. The record is from RNAcentral.